Molecule: ribosomal RNA, 253 nt
Filed under: uncultured bacterium
Lineage: Bacteria
Description: partial 16S ribosomal RNA
Rfam family: Bacterial small subunit ribosomal RNA
Source: RNAcentral
UACGUAGGGUGCGAGCGUUGUCCGGAAUUACUGGGCGUAAAGAGCUUGUAGGUGGUUUGUCGCGUUGUUCGUGAAAUCUCACGGCUUAACUGUGAGCGUGCGGGCGAUACGGGCAGACUAGAGUACUGCAGGGGAGACUGGAAUUCCUGGUGUAGCGGUGGAAUGCGCAGAUAUCAGGAGGAACACCGGUGGCGAAGGCGGGUCUCUGGGCAUUACCUGACGCUGAGGAGCGAAAGUGUGGGGAGCGAACAGG